This 1811-nucleotide small RNA is filed under the name Pan troglodytes (chimpanzee). RNAcentral's name for it is "retained intron". The record is from RNAcentral. Lineage: Eukaryota; Metazoa; Chordata; Mammalia; Primates; Hominidae.
AGGCGGAAGGCUCUUGAGUGGGUCACAUGGGCGGCCGGCAGGCGGGGCUCCUGUGGUGAUCUUAGGGAAAGCUGCUGCUGGCAGAGGGAUGUGCUGUUUCUGAGCCCGAGCCGAAUGGGACCACGGGGCCCAAGCAAGCCCCCGUCCCUCCUGGACGUAAAGGCAUGCGCACAUACCUCUGGGAGUAUGAGGCUUCUGCCACCUGUUGGGUUGGUUCCAGGCCCCGCCUGCCCUCAGUGAGCCCCGACAGGGCCGGUGGGAGAUGGGCUUGUGUCCUGGGAGGCAGCUGCAGCUCUCACCCCAGCGGCUGUCUCUGCCUCAGGCUCCCCUCCCUGAAGCGUGGCUCGAGGCGCACGGGCACGGCUGCUCCGCGCCAGCGUGUAAGUGGAUUGCAGCUCCUCCCGCGCCUGCGCUCGCUGGCCACCCCCCAGCCCCUCAGGCACCAGGACUGGCCACUCCCGCGGCUCACUCUGCCCUCGUCACGGUGCCACUGGCUCCCUGGCACAGGUUGGGAGGGGUCUGGGUCUGGUCUGGGGUGGGGGUCCUGCAUGGCAGACGCUCAUGCCCACCCAUGUCUUGCCCUCCCCACCCAGACAUGCGGCGGGAUGUGCAGGAGAUCUUCCGCCUGACACCACACGAGAAGCAGUGCAUGAUGUUCAGCGCCACCCUGAGCAAGGACAUCCGGCCUGUGUGCAGGAAGUUCAUGCAGGAUGUGAGUAGGGCGAGAGUGGCAGCUUCAGCCUUCCCCAGGGGCCUGGAGCCUGGGGCCCCAGGACACCCGCACGGCCCACAUGGCACGGAGGAUGCUGGGAUGCUGGGAGCCGGCAGAGCCUCCUUUCCUCCCCUCGGUCUUGUCAAACUGGGAGUCAAGCUUGGUCCACACCUGAGUCGGGCCAGAGCUUACAUCCAGCUUUUGAGCGAUGUUUACUGAGGUCUGGUGCAGCAGGUCCUCUGGGAAGUGUCGCACAAAGGAGUCGCCCACUGGAAGGUUCUGGGCAGGCGAGAUGCCCAGAGGUGAUACCUGCCCGCCCCUCCCACCUCCCUUCCCACACAGCCCAUGGAGGUGUUUGUGGACGACGAGACCAAGCUCACGCUGCACGGCCUGCAGCAGUACUACGUCAAACUCAAAGACAGUGAGAAGAACCGCAAGCUCUUUGAUCUCUUGGAUGUGCUGGAGUUUAACCAGGUGAUAAUCUUCGUCAAGUCAGUGCAGCGCUGCAUGGCCCUGGCCCAGCUCCUCGUGGAGCAGAACUUCCCGGCCAUCGCCAUCCACCGGGGCAUGGCCCAGGAGGAGCGGUGAGUGCGAGCCGCCGGCCAAGGCUGCAGGGAGCACCACCAGGAGCCCAGUGUCUGACGGCCUCCACUUGUUUCUCCUGCACCCCAGCCUGUCACGCUAUCAGCAGUUCAAGGAUUUCCAGCGGCGGAUCCUGGUGGCCACGAAUCUGUUUGGCCGGGGGAUGGACAUCGAGCGAGUCAACAUCGUCUUUAACUACGACAUGCCUGAGGACUCGGACACCUACCUGCACCGGGUGGCCCGGGCGGGUCGCUUUGGCACCAAAGGCCUAGCCAUCACUUUUGUGUCUGACGAGAAUGAUGCCAAAAUCCUCAAUGACGUCCAGGACCGGUUUGAAGUUAAUGUGGCAGAACUUCCAGAGGAAAUCGACAUCUCCACAUACAUUGAGCAGAGCCGGUAACCACCACGUGCCAGAGCCGCCCACCCGGAGCCGCCCGCAUGCAGCUUCACCUCCCCUUUCCAGGCGCCACUGUUGAGAAGCUAGAGAUUGUAUGAGAAUAAACUUGUUAUUAUGGAA